This 401-nucleotide long non-coding RNA is filed under the name Physcomitrium patens. RNAcentral's name for it is "long non-coding RNA (PPAT_LNC004606)". Lineage: Eukaryota; Viridiplantae; Streptophyta; Bryopsida; Funariales; Funariaceae. The record is from RNAcentral.
AAAGUUAGAAGUUGGCCAACACCUUAGUGGAUUAUGAUGUUUUUCUCUCAUUUUGUGAGUUUAAUUCUCUUAAAUUUUUUUAUGCUUAUUAUUAAUUAAGAAAUUGAGAGAUAAAUAAAAUUUUAAGUAAGAUCAAUAAUUUAGUCAAUAGAUAUUGAGAUUCUUAAUUGCUUUAGGAUUGGUUUGAAUUGUUUAGGUUUUGGAUAGGAUUUAAGAUUUGAUUAGAAUUUGGUUUAAGAUUUAAAAUUUGAUUAGGAUUAAUUUAGGAUUUAAAAUCUAAUUAGGAUUGAUUUAAGAUUUAUGAUUUCUUUAGGAUUUCUUUAAGAAUUUUUAAGAAUUUUUUAAAGAUUCUUGUCGAUUUCUUUUAGUUUUUUUAGAUUUUUUUUAAAGAUUUCUAUUAG